CGCCCAAUAGCUAGCCCACUCACCAACAAACAACACACCACCAUUACUAACCCCUCAUAAACGAAAUGAAAUUAAACAAACCAUUUUUCCCCCCAAGUAUGGGCGACAGAAAAG
Molecule: ribosomal RNA, 114 nt
Filed under: Scarus ovifrons (knobsnout parrotfish)
Lineage: Eukaryota; Metazoa; Chordata; Actinopteri; Labriformes; Labridae
Description: partial 16S rRNA
Source: RNAcentral